This 250-nucleotide ribosomal RNA is filed under the name uncultured prokaryote. Its description in RNAcentral is "partial 16S rRNA". It matches the Rfam family "Bacterial small subunit ribosomal RNA", at positions 525 to 775 of the family's 1533-position model. The record is from RNAcentral.
ACGUAGGGGGCAAGCGUUAUCCGGAAUUAUUGGGCGUAAAGAGUGCGUAGGUGGUUUUUUAAGCGUGAGGUGAAAGGCAAUAGCUUAACUAUUGUAAGCCUUGCGAACUGGGGGACUUGAGUGCAGGAGAGGAGAGUGGAAUUCCUAGUGUAGCGGUGAAAUGCGUAGAUAUAUGGAGGAACACCAGUGGCGAAGGCGACUCUCUGGUCUGUAACUGACGCUGAGGCUCGAAAGCGUGGGGAGCAAACAG